UCGAGAAUUUUUCACAAUGGGGGAAACCCUGAUGGAGCGACGCCGCGUGGAGGAUGAAGGUCUUCGGAUCGUAAACUCCUGUCACCCCAGAACAAAAUCAUUCAGGUUAAUACCGUGGAUGGUCGAUGGUAUGGGGAGAGGAAGGGACGGCUAACUCUGUGCCAGCAGCCGCGGUAAUACAGAGGUCCCAAGCGUUGUUCGGAUUCACUGGGCGUAAAGGGUGUGUAGGAGGUUUGGUAAGUCGGGUGUGAAAGCCCACCGCUUAACGGUGGAAUGGCAUUCGAUACUGCUGGACUGGAGGAUUAGAGGGGCAAGCGGAAUUCAUGGUGUAGCAGUGAAAUGCGUAGAUAUCAUGAGGAACACCGGUGGCGAAAGCGGCUUGCUAGAUAAUUCCUGACUCUGAAACACGAAAGCCAGGGGAGCAAACGGGAUUAGAUACCCCCGUAGUCC
This 450-nucleotide ribosomal RNA is filed under the name uncultured bacterium. Its description in RNAcentral is "bacterial SSU rRNA". It matches the Rfam family "Bacterial small subunit ribosomal RNA", at positions 355 to 796 of the family's 1533-position model. The record is from RNAcentral.